AGGCUUUUAGGAUAUGGUUGCGGU
Molecule: non-coding RNA, 24 nt
Filed under: Arabidopsis thaliana (thale cress)
Lineage: Eukaryota; Viridiplantae; Streptophyta; Magnoliopsida; Brassicales; Brassicaceae
Source: RNAcentral